This 327-nucleotide ribosomal RNA is filed under the name uncultured eukaryote. RNAcentral describes it as "partial 18S ribosomal RNA". It matches the Rfam family "Eukaryotic small subunit ribosomal RNA", at positions 1470 to 1796 of the family's 1831-position model. The record is from RNAcentral.
CCCUUAGAUGUUCUGGGCCGCACGCUCGCUACACUGACGAAUGCAACGAGCUUAUAACCUUGGCCGAAAGGUCUGGGUAAUCUCCAAAUUUCGUCGUGAUGGGGAUAGAUUAUUGCAAUUAUUAAUCUUCAACGAGGAAUGCCUAGUAAGCGCAAGUCAUCAGCUUGCGUUGAUUACGUCCCUGCCCUUUGUACACACCGCCCGUCGCUCCUACCGAUUGAAUGGUCCGGUGAAGCGUUCGGACCGUGGCCUUUGGACGGUUCGCCGUCUGUUGGCUGCGGGAAGUUCGUUAAACCUUAUCAUUUAGAGGAAGGAGAAGUCGUAACA